This 645-nucleotide ribosomal RNA is filed under the name uncultured Parabacteroides sp. RNAcentral describes it as "bacterial SSU rRNA". It matches the Rfam family "Bacterial small subunit ribosomal RNA", at positions 28 to 667 of the family's 1533-position model. Lineage: Bacteria; Pseudomonadati; Bacteroidota; Bacteroidia; Bacteroidales; Tannerellaceae. The record is from RNAcentral.
GAUGAACGCUAGCGACAGGCUUAACACAUGCAAGUCGAGGGGCAGCACAGGUAGCAAUACCGGGUGGCGACCGGCGCACGGGUGAGUAACGCGUAUGCAACUUACCUAUCAGAGGGGGAUAACCCGGCGAAAGUCGGACUAAUACCGCAUGAAGCAGGGGCCCCGCAUGGGGAUAUUUGCUAAAGAUUCAUCGCUGAUAGAUAGGCAUGCGUUCCAUUAGGCAGUUGGCGGGGUAACGGCCCACCAAACCGACGAUGGAUAGGGGUUCUGAGAGGAAGGUCCCCCACAUUGGUACUGAGACACGGACCAAACUCCUACGGGAGGCAGCAGUGAGGAAUAUUGGUCAAUGGGCGUAAGCCUGAACCAGCCAAGUCGCGUGAGGGAUGAAGGUUCUAUGGAUCGUAAACCUCUUUUAUAAGGGAAUAAAGUGCGGGACGUGUCCCGUUUUGUAUGUACCUUAUGAAUAAGGAUCGGCUAACUCCGUGCCAGCAGCCGCGGUAAUACGGAGGAUCCGAGCGUUAUCCGGAUUUAUUGGGUUUAAAGGGUGCGUAGGCGGCCUUUUAAGUCAGCGGUGAAAGUCUGUGGCUCAACCAUAGAAUUGCCGUUGAAACUGGGGGGCUUGAGUAUGUUUGAGGCANGCGGAAU